Lutra lutra (Eurasian river otter) is the source of this 1175-nucleotide long non-coding RNA. RefSeq lists it as uncharacterized. Lineage: Eukaryota; Metazoa; Chordata; Mammalia; Carnivora; Mustelidae. The record is from RefSeq and is a predicted model, not a curated record. The transcript has 3 exons.
GUUUUAGGCAAAGGUGGAAAGUCUACAAAGAGAUUUCUAACACAGGCUCACUGCUAGACUGACCUCCAGGAUCCCCUCAACAUUAAACACUAGGAUCUAUAAUUCUAUAACCAGAAGCCAACAUUAGCAAUCAAUCAGGUUUAAAAUCCAGCAGUCCUGAAAACCAUUCUAAAUGAUAGCUUCAUCAGAAAGAUGUGACUGCCAUUGGGAACUAGACAAAAGCAAGUUCUCAAGUCCUGAAGAGAGAUAAAGCAAUGUAUUUGCUAUGGAUGCUUUCAGUUUCCCUUAGGAAAGAAUAACUACUCUAAGCUACCCCUUUCUGGAUUCCUUGAUAGCUAACUAGAGGGAUUCUCCUGUUGGCUAUUAACAACCAACAUCCCUGUUAUGGAGAAGACCACCUGGCACGGGACAGCAUAUGGAUUCUAGGAGCUGAGAACAGCCCUGAGUUAACAGCUAGGAGGAAAGCAGAACCUGAGUCCUACAGAUUUAAGGAAGCAAAUCCUUCCAGUGACCUACAUAAACCUUUAAGAAAAUGUUUUGCUGCAGAUGAGAGUCCCAGAAUGGAGGACACUUUGAUGUUAGCCUUUCUGCUCUCUGAGCAGAGAAUCCUGUUGAGUCACUUGCAGACUUCUGACCCACAGAAACUCUAAUAACAGUAGAUGUUCUAAGCUGCUAAUUUUGCUACUAUCACUAAAAUCCAGUAAUAUGUAACACAUUGCAAGUAAACUUCUAAUUCUUCUCUCUUAAAUAUUAUCUGCUCUUCCCCAUUUUCCUCAAGAAAUGGUGACUCCGUAUUCCAGUGUAAUGAGGUUAAAAAAUUGUAUUCAUCUUUGAUUUUACUCAAUAUUUCAUAUCUUAUAAAGUUCAUCUCUAAAUCCUGUUGGCUGUAUCUUUAAAAUAUAUUCAUAAUGCCAACAUUCCUACUUUGUUGACCAACACUUGCAUUAGUGUUACCACUUGCGUUAAUGCUACCCUCAUGCCUUCUUUGAGUUAUUUCAAAAACUUCCAAAGUGGUUUGCCUGCUUUCAUACAUACUUACCCACAGAAAUCUAUUCCUCACAGAAGUAGUCACAGUAAUAUGCAUAAAAUGUAAAUUGAGAAACAUCUCUGUUAAAAACCUCGCAGUGGAUUCCAGUAUCAGAAAACAAACAAACAAACAAACAAAACAAACAAAA